CAUUCGAUCUCGAUUUCAGAACUGUUCAAAUCGAUUGCUCUUGAUAAUCAAAAACAGAUCGAUCGAAUUGAUUGUGGCAUCAUGGCGGCAUGUUUGCUACUGAAAAUUGAACAUCGUGUGCAGCUUCGAUUGCGUGAUACUUCAAAUUCAGCUUUGUUUAAUGGUGGUUAAGAGUAACCAGAAUAACAAAAAUGUUAAAUGAAAUGGGGAUUGAAAUGUGGGAGGAUGAAACUUGCUGCCAUGGAUUUGAAAAAAUGUUUUACAGGAAAGAUCAGCCAAGUAGGAAUACUUGGCUGGUAUUUCAGCAACCAGAACACAUCCCCUGUUCCACACAUAGAGCUAAUAAUAUAAUGCAGCUAUCCACCUAAAAUUCAAAAUCAGUUCACCGUGAGCUUCAAUUUAAGUGUUCAUGAUUGAUGUUGACCAAAACAAGAGAUCAUAUUUUUACGUUGACAAAUCUUAUUAAGCCACAUAUAACACAACAGGGAUCCAAGAGAAUGAAUCCAACAGACACAUGAUGAUGCCAUCCUUUUACCUUCAGCUGAAUACGUUUGGUAAUAAACAUUUCGAUCGCACCGACGCACUCAGGAGAAGAUUGUCGAUGAAAUUCCUAAGUACAAUGAACUUUUGCAAUUGUUGGUCGCUGUCGAGCACUGGGCCACGCUGUGCCAACAGUACCAAAUAGUACUUCGAAAGGAAAACGCCUCCACCUUAGCAACCGUGUCUUUACCGUGGAUAAGUUCAUACUGAGUAACGUGAGAAACUCACUCACUGGAAGGCUCCCAAAACACGUAUUGUUGAAUAUAAUGUUCGCAUCAUCGCCAAACACUACACUGGUGUGACGAUGAAAAGGAUGGCUGCUCUCUUCGACUUUGCUGUUGAAGAAACAGAAGAAUUUUCUUCUAAUUUGGUUUCCAGUAAAACUGUAAUGUCAUGCGUCGAGGCCGAACCAAUCUAUAUGAGAAAUACUUGUCCGAUUUUUAAAAUUCGUUUCAGGAGAUUACAGUGUUCGAUUACGCCUGA
RNAcentral lists this long non-coding RNA (1023 nucleotides) under Daphnia magna. Its description in RNAcentral is "uncharacterized LOC116922326, transcript variant X2". The record is from RNAcentral. Lineage: Eukaryota; Metazoa; Arthropoda; Branchiopoda; Diplostraca; Daphniidae.